GACGAACGCUGGCGGCGUGCUUAACACAUGCAAGUCGAACGGAAAGGCCUCUUUCGGGGGGUACUCGAGUGGCGAACGGGUGAGUAACACGUGAGUAACCUGCCCUUUACUUUGGGAUAACUUCAGGAAACUGGGGCUAAUACCGGAUAGGAGCUCCUGCUGCAUGGUGGUGGUUGGAAAGUUUCGGCGGUUGGGGAUGGACUCGCGGCUUAUCAGCUUGUUGGUGGGGUAGUGGCUUACCAAGGCUUUGACGGGUAGCCGGCCUGAGAGGGUGACCGGCCACAUUGGGACUGAGAUACGGCCCAGACUCCUACGGGAGGCAGCAGUGGGGAAUAUUGCACAAUGGGUGGAAGCCUGAUGCAGCAACGCCGUGUGCGGGAUGACGGCCUUCGGGUUGUAAACCGCUUUCGCUCAUGACGAAGCUUUGUGUGACGGUAGUGGGUAAAGAAGCACCGGCUAACUACGUG
Molecule: ribosomal RNA, 467 nt
Filed under: uncultured bacterium
Lineage: Bacteria
Description: partial 16S ribosomal RNA
Rfam family: Bacterial small subunit ribosomal RNA
Source: RNAcentral